Astatotilapia calliptera (eastern happy) is the source of this 421-nucleotide long non-coding RNA. Lineage: Eukaryota; Metazoa; Chordata; Actinopteri; Cichliformes; Cichlidae. The record is from Ensembl.
CAGACAGCUAACGGUUUCAAUGAACAUUGGAGGCGGAAGUUAUAAUGAUGCAGCACCAGAAUUGAACCAGGACCGGAAAACUGCCCAAUCAUCUCAUCUUUGGAGCUCUUCAUUUUUAAAAAACACAACUAAAUUCAAAGUUUAUACUAGAUAAUAGCUUACUAUAUAAAGCUGUGUCUUUUUUUUAACAACAAGUUCACAUGUUAGCUCUCAGCACAACUGUGGAUAGAAAAAAAACAGAAAACUCAGGACAGGGAAGGAUCAGCUUUAUUUAAGUUUUGAGGGACAUUUGAUAGUUUUUGAUGAUGAUUUUCUCUAUGUGAUUACAUGAGCUUUCCCCAGAUUCAGACCUCAGGACCAACCAGUGAUAGACAAAAAUCAUUCUAUACUCUCGGAUGAAUACACUUAAUUGUUGUAAUGA